This 497-nucleotide ribosomal RNA is filed under the name uncultured bacterium. RNAcentral describes it as "partial 16S ribosomal RNA". It matches the Rfam family "Bacterial small subunit ribosomal RNA", at positions 28 to 507 of the family's 1533-position model. The record is from RNAcentral.
GAUGAACGCUGGCGGCGUGCCUAAUACAUGCAAGUCGAGCGAACAGACGAGGAGCUUGCUCCUCUGACGUUAGCGGCGGACGGGUGAGUAACACGUGGAUAACCUACCUAUAAGACUGGGAUAACUUCGGGAAACCGGAGCUAAUACCGGAUAAUAUAUUGAACCGCAUGGUUCAAUAGUGAAAGACGGUUUUGCUGUCACUUAUAGAUGGAUCCGCGCCGCAUUAGCUAGUUGGUAAGGUAACGGCUUACCAAGGCGACGAUGCGUAGCCGAACUGAGAGGGUGAUCGGCCGCACUGGAACUGAGACACGGUCCAGACUCCUACGGGAGGCAGCAGUAGGGAAUCUUACGCAGUGGGCGAAAGCUUGACGGAGCAACGCCGCGUGAGUGAUGAAGGUCUUCGGAUCGUAAAACUCUGUUAUUAGGGAAGAACAAAUGUGGAAGUAACUAUGCACGUCUUGACGGUACCUAAUCAGAAAGCCACGGCUAACUACGUG